GCGCCCAACACGCCCACGUGGGCGACCCGGCACUGCUGAGGCCCCGGCCCGAAGCCGUGCGGGCGUGGAGAGGAAGUUCUGGGAGUGGGGUGGCGAGAGGGGCCCCUGGCGGGCAAGCAGAGCUCGGGCCUCGCGUCCGCUCUGGGAUCCCAGGCUGAAGAAGCUCCGUCGCAGUUGCGGGCCAGAGAGGGUUAGACUCGGCUGGCGGUGGUGCCCCCAGAAGAUCCGGACCCAAGACGCGGCGCACGCGGAAGAUAACCCAAGUGCUGCCCUCUGAAGUAAUCUGCACAGUAGUCCCUGAAGUAGAUGUCCUUAUUCUUCACAUCUAUGAAUGAGGCACCUGAGACACGGAGAGAUUUCUGGACUUCUGGGGAUCCCACAUGGCAGAGCUGGGGCUUAAGCUCAGGACUUUGUGAGGCCUUAUUCCGAAAUUGCCAUUGCACCCAGCUGCCUCAUAGAGCAAGGCAGAGGUGACUUUGUUAAGAGAGCUCUUUGCAAAACAAAAGUUCUUUAUCCAGGCACACUAUUGUGAGAGCUUAAGAAAUGUUUGCUUGUGGUGACAUGGGCUACAAAUAGCUUUCCUCACAGUCUCCUAGGUCUGCUGUGGGACCCUAAUGUGAAAGCCUCACUGAAAGAGAACCAGCAGCUGUGGAGUAGUAGACCACACCUUGGGACCCAGGAGUGGUGUGGUGCAGGGAGCCGAGUUCAGGCUAAGGCAUCUAUGGAGCAUCUCAAUGCAGCCCUCCUGCUCAGGUCUGGGAACUCUGAAAGAUACCAGGGGACCUAGGGAAGCACCAAGGAGUGGGGUCAGGGUGUGCCUGAGUGGGCAGAGGAUACAGAGGGACCCUUGCAGUCAUCAUCUUGCAGACAAUGGUUAAUUUUAACCCAAACCUCAAAUCCAGCAAGGCCAGCCCUUGAGAGUCAGCCAGAAUACAAGUUCAGGCUCCAUCACCAACUAAUGUGGCUUUGGAUCCUGGCUCUUUUCCUCCUUCACUUUGCUGAGCAUGUGUUCUCUCAGCUGUAAGAAUGGAACUAAGGAUUCUUAUGGUGCAUAGUGGUGAAUUCAGAAAGAGAAUCAUACGCAUCCUGCUCCAGUACAACCCCUCAUCUUACACAAAAGAGAGCCAGUUUGCACUAGGGAGGGAAGCAGCCCAAGAGAGAUUCAAGGAUUAAAUGGAGUGGAAGGGCCUGAUGUGUACCUCACCUUCUAAACUCAUGGCAUUGGAAGGGACCUUGUUCAAGCCCCUCAUUUUCCUGAGGGGAGGAAAAAACUAGUCAGCCAACUAGUUAGUGUGACUGAACCAUGCAUGCUUUCCCACAUUUCCUUUCCAAGGCAGCAUUGUUGUGACAGGGUCUGCUGGGUGUGCAGAAAAAUAAAAAGCUGGACCCACAUGGGAAUCUGAUGGUGCUGUCUCUGGGCUAGUUCUUUCUCCUCCAGUGAGAAAAGUUGAAUAAGCCCAGUGUCACAAAACCCCCUAGGAAGAGUGAGAAGUUACUUUUUCUCAGUUCCAAGAGACCCUUACAUGCCCUCCCCAGUUUGGGUGAUAAUGGGUAAGUGGCUACUGAUGGAUGCAACUCUGUUCUGGCGCCUGGUUUCCUGGGGCCCAGCCAGUCCUGCUUUGCAGAGGUUGUCCUUGUCCUUGGAAGGGAAACAUUAGCCCAGUUAAUUUUUCAUCAUGGUAAGUGCAAAGUUCAGGAGAGGUGGGAUGGGGGUGGAGGCACAGCUCUGUCUCCCUGGGAAUAGUCAGCCCUAUCAGGAGCCUCCAGACAGACAUGCCAAAGCAUGUUUGGAGCAGCUCCCAGGUGGAACCCUGGAGAGAAACGAACACCUGACUUGGGUUAUGUUUUUUUCCCAUUAGCCAAAGGGUGUUUAAUCAGCAAGUGGUGAGUCUAGAAAGAACAUUGGGAUCAUUCUGUCUUCAUUUUACAGAGACAGAAAGGGAUAUCUGAGGAAGGGAGGUGAGCAGGUUGGAACUAGAACUCUCCUGAGCGUGUCCUCACCCAGAAGAGGGCCUCUACCUACAGCCAGGUCUCUGUAGCUCUUUAUAGCACCUUACCCAGUGGGCUCUCCUGGUACCAGACAACCUGGGUUAAACUUCCAUCUUCACCACUUCCAGCUGUGUAACUUAACUCUUAUGUGUCAGUUUCCUCGACCAUAUAAUGGGAAUGGUAAUAAAAUUGCUUCUUAGAUUA
Molecule: long non-coding RNA, 2193 nt
Organism: Marmota monax (woodchuck)
Lineage: Eukaryota; Metazoa; Chordata; Mammalia; Rodentia; Sciuridae
Exons: 2
Source: RefSeq, a predicted model, not a curated record